CAUCCCGCGGGAAUACAGAGGGUGCAAGCGUUAAUCGGAUUUACUGGGCGUAAAGGGCGCGUAGGUGGUUAUUUAAGUGAGAUGUGAAAGCCCCGGGCUUAACCUGGGAACUGCAUCUUAUACUGGGUAGCUGGAGUGCAGUAGAGGGUAGUGGAAUUUCCGGUGUAGCGGUGAAAUGCGUAGAUAUCGGAAGGAACACCAGUGGCGAAGGCGGCUACCUGGACUGAGACUGACACUGAGGCGCGAGAGCGUGGGGAGCAAACAGGAUUAGAGACCCGCGUAGUCCCUGUCUCUUAUACAC
This 301-nucleotide ribosomal RNA is filed under the name uncultured bacterium. Its description in RNAcentral is "partial 16S ribosomal RNA". It matches the Rfam family "Bacterial small subunit ribosomal RNA", at positions 512 to 809 of the family's 1533-position model. The record is from RNAcentral.